CACCUAACAAGCUGUUGACAAUUUACAGAAGUUGCAUGUUUAUCACCACCGAAAGGCGAAAAGAAAACACCUCAAAGAAAUAUCAAAUUUAGAUUUCAUGGAAAUGAAGAACUGUACAACAACAUAUCUUAUGUAACAUACCAUUUAUAUUCAUACAAUGCAAUUCAUGAUUUUCUUUGGAUGGAAGCGAGUAGUAAAGCAUGCAUAUUUUACUCUUCUAUUUAUGCAGAGGAGAAGCAGUUGGUUUUGGAUGAGAGACAGCUUUUCUACCAGAAAUUUCAUUAGUACUUCUCCUACGAUAUUUAGGACCAUUGCUUGAACUUUGAUUCCUUUUUCGGGGGUUUUCGCUUUGAGAGCCCCGAGACCCCUCGUUGUCAUUGGACUCGAGCAAUUGCUCCAAUGCUUUUACCAAUUCUUCCACAUCUGGUCUAAACUUUGGCUCUGUUGAUAGGCAUUGUACUGCAAGAGUAGCUGCUUUUAGUGCAU
This 486-nucleotide unclassified non-coding RNA is filed under the name Hevea brasiliensis (rubber tree). Lineage: Eukaryota; Viridiplantae; Streptophyta; Magnoliopsida; Malpighiales; Euphorbiaceae. The record is from RNAcentral.